GAGUUGUAAUUUGAAGAUUGUAACCUUGGGGUUGGCUCUUGUCUAUGUUUCUUGGAACAGGACGUCACAGAGGGUGAGAAUCCCGUGCGAUGAGAUGCCCAAUCCUAUGUAAGGUGCUUUCGAAGAGUCGAGUUGUUUGGGAAUGCAGCUCUAAGUGGGUGGUAAAUUCCAUCUAAAGCUAAAUAUUGGCGAGAGACCGAUAGCGAACAAGUACAGUGAUGGAAAGAUGAAAAGAACUUUGAAAAGAGAGUGAAAAAGUACGUGAAAUUGUUGAAAGGGAAGGGUUUGAGAUCAGACUCGAUAUUUUGUGAGCCUUGCCUUCGUGGCGGGGUGACCCGCAGCUUAUCGGGCCAGCAUCGGUUUGGGCGGUAGGAUAAUGGCGUAGGAAUGUGACUUUGCUUCGGUGAAGUGUUAUAGCCUGCGUUGAUGCUGCCUGCCUAGACCGAGGACUGCGAUUUUAUCAAGGAUGCUGGCAUAAUGAUCCCAAACCGCCCGUCUUGAACCACGGACCAAA
This 514-nucleotide ribosomal RNA is filed under the name Meyerozyma guilliermondii. RNAcentral's name for it is "eukaryotic LSU rRNA". It matches the Rfam family "Eukaryotic large subunit ribosomal RNA", at positions 140 to 670 of the family's 3401-position model. Lineage: Eukaryota; Fungi; Ascomycota; Pichiomycetes; Serinales; Debaryomycetaceae. The record is from RNAcentral.